This 295-nucleotide signal recognition particle RNA is filed under the name Cebus imitator (Panamanian white-faced capuchin). RNAcentral describes it as "Metazoan signal recognition particle RNA (ENSCCAG00000001933.1)". It matches the Rfam family "Metazoan signal recognition particle RNA". From Rfam's summary of the family: The signal recognition particle (SRP) is a universally conserved ribonucleoprotein. It is involved in the co-translational targeting of proteins to membranes. Lineage: Eukaryota; Metazoa; Chordata; Mammalia; Primates; Cebidae. The record is from RNAcentral.
GCCGAGUGGGGUGGCCUGUGCCUGUAGUCCCAGCUACUCCGGAGGCUGGGACUGGAGGAUCACUUGAGCCCAGGAGUUCUGGGCUAUAGUGUGCUAUGCCAAUAGGGUGUCAGCACUAAGUUCGGCAUUAAUAUGGUGACUUCCUGGGAGUGGGGGACCACCAGGUUGCCUAAGGAUGGGUGAACCAGCCCAGGUUGGAAACUGAGCGGGUCAAAACUCCCGUGCUGAUCCAUAGUGGGAUCACGCCUAUGAAUAGCCACUGUACUCCAGGGCAACAUAGUGAGACACUGUCUCU